GUGUCUGUUUCCUGCCCUA
Molecule: microRNA, 19 nt
Filed under: Corchorus olitorius
Lineage: Eukaryota; Viridiplantae; Streptophyta; Magnoliopsida; Malvales; Malvaceae
Description: rno-miR-6
Source: RNAcentral